ACAGCAGCCUCACCUCUGUCAUGCUCCUGCAUUAGGAAACUCAUCUUCCACAGAGAUCUGGUGAGGAAGCAUCCUGUUCCUUGACACAGCAGAAGAUUUGGACAGAUUUUCCGAGAUUCAUCUAACUUAGUCUGAAUGGCUGGCACAAGAAACAGUUCUGUCCUUAAUGCAGCAAAAGAACGAAAGGAUAUGUGGAAAACCAGUCUGGGUUCAAUGGCUUGAUCCAAAACACAUCAGUGGUCAAUGGAGGAUGCACUGAUUUUAGAGGAUUGAGGCUGUGUCCCUGAUCAAAGGAGCAAGGGACUACUCUAAAGAAAUCAUCCUGAGUGUUAAUUUUGGCACAAGGAGAAGUACAAGGAUAAUGCUGAUGGCACUUUUUUGCUUUGAU
Molecule: long non-coding RNA, 388 nt
Filed under: Cyanistes caeruleus (blue tit)
Lineage: Eukaryota; Metazoa; Chordata; Aves; Passeriformes; Paridae
Description: lncRNA (ENSCCEG00000002297.1)
Source: RNAcentral